GGAGAUGUAGCUCAGAAGUAGAGUGCUUACCUAGCAUGUAUGAGGCCUUGGGUUUGAUCACCAGCACCUCCA
RNAcentral lists this transfer RNA (72 nucleotides) under Ictidomys tridecemlineatus (thirteen-lined ground squirrel). Its description in RNAcentral is "Spermophilus tridecemlineatus (thirteen-lined ground squirrel) tRNA". It matches the Rfam family "tRNA". Rfam says of the family: Transfer RNA (tRNA) molecules are approximately 80 nucleotides in length. Their secondary structure includes four short double-helical elements and three loops (D, anti-codon, and T loops). Lineage: Eukaryota; Metazoa; Chordata; Mammalia; Rodentia; Sciuridae. The record is from Rfam by way of RNAcentral.